AAUGUUGAUCCUAAUUCAGGGCUUUUUUUUGUUUUGUUUUGAUAAUUAAACUCUGAGACAAUAACACAGAGGCUGGGAAAGAUGAUUGGGUAGAAGAUAUUUCUCUAUUCAUUUUUCUUCCCAGCCUACAAAA
This is a small nucleolar RNA of Suncus etruscus (white-toothed pygmy shrew), 133 nucleotides long. NCBI's taxonomy places the organism in Eukaryota, Metazoa, Chordata, Mammalia, Eulipotyphla, Soricidae. The record is from RefSeq and is a predicted model, not a curated record.